This 468-nucleotide ribosomal RNA is filed under the name uncultured bacterium. RNAcentral describes it as "partial 16S ribosomal RNA". It matches the Rfam family "Bacterial small subunit ribosomal RNA", at positions 28 to 507 of the family's 1533-position model. The record is from RNAcentral.
GACGAACGCUGGCGGCGUGCUUAACACAUGCAAGUCGAACGGAAAGGCCCUGCUUUUGUGGGGUGCUCGAGUGGCGAACGGGUGAGUAACACGUGAGUAACCUGCCCUUGACUUUGGGAUAACUUCAGGAAACUGGGGCUAAUACCGGAUAGGAGCUCCUGCUGCAUGGUGGGGUUUGGAAAGUUUCGGCGGUUGGGGAUGGACUCGCGGUUUAACAGCUUGUUGGUGGGGUAGUGGCUUACCAAGGCUUUGACGGGUAGCCGGCCUGAGAGGGUGACCGGCCACAUUGGGACUGAGAUACGGCCCAGACUCCUACGGGAGGCAGCAGUGGGGAAUAUUGCACAAUGGGCGGAAGCCUGAUGCAGCAACGCCGCGUGCGGGAUGACGGCCUUCGGGUUGUAAACCGCUUUCGCCUGUGACGAAGCGUGAGUGACGGUAAUGGGUAAAGAAGCACCGGCUAACUACGUG